RNAcentral lists this transfer RNA (87 nucleotides) under Candidatus Aerophobota bacterium. RNAcentral's name for it is "Candidatus Aerophobetes bacterium tRNA-Leu". It matches the Rfam family "tRNA". Rfam says of the family: Transfer RNA (tRNA) molecules are approximately 80 nucleotides in length. Their secondary structure includes four short double-helical elements and three loops (D, anti-codon, and T loops). Further hydrogen bonds mediate the characteristic L-shaped molecular structure. tRNAs have two regions of fundamental functional importance: the anti-codon, which is responsible for specific mRNA codon recognition, and the 3' end, to which the tRNAs corresponding amino acid is attached (by aminoacyl-tRNA synthetases). tRNAs cope with the degeneracy of the genetic code in two manners: having more than one tRNA (with a specific anti-codon) for a particular amino acid; and 'wobble' base-pairing, i.e. permitting non-standard base-pairing at the 3rd anti-codon position. RNAcentral also lists the same sequence under 1 other name. The record is from RNAcentral. Lineage: Bacteria; Candidatus Aerophobota.
GCCGAGGUGGCGGAAUCGGUAGACGCGCAUGAUUCAGGAUCAUGUGAGGAUAACCUCAUGGGGGUUCAAAUCCCCCCCUCGGCACCA